RNAcentral lists this ribosomal RNA (497 nucleotides) under uncultured bacterium. Its description in RNAcentral is "partial 16S ribosomal RNA". It matches the Rfam family "Bacterial small subunit ribosomal RNA", at positions 28 to 507 of the family's 1533-position model. The record is from RNAcentral.
GAUGAACGCUGGCGGCGUGCCUAAUACAUGCAAGUCGAGCGAACGGACGAGAAGCUUGCUUCUCUGAUGUUAGCGGCGGACGGGUGAGUAACACGUGGAUAACCUACCUAUAAGACUGGGAUAACUUCGGGAAACCGGAGCUAAUACCGGAUAAUAUUUUGAACCGCAUGGUUCAAAAGUAAAAGACGGUCUUGCUGUCACUUAUAGAUGGAUCCGCGCUGCAUUAGCUAGUUGGUAAGGUAACGGCUUACCAAGGCAACGAUGCAUAGCCGACCUGAGAGGGUGAUCGGCCACACUGGAACUGAGACACGGUCCAGACUACUACGGGAGGCAGCAGUAGGGAAUCUUCCGCAAUGGGCGAAAGCCUGACGGAGCAACGCCGCGUGAGUGAUGAAGGUCUUCGGAUCGUAAAACUCUGUUAUUAGGGAAGAACAUAUGUGUAAGUAACUGUGCACAUCUUGACGGUGCCUAAUCAGAAAGCCACGGCUAACUACGUG